This 445-nucleotide ribosomal RNA is filed under the name uncultured bacterium. RNAcentral describes it as "partial 16S ribosomal RNA". It matches the Rfam family "Bacterial small subunit ribosomal RNA", at positions 354 to 796 of the family's 1533-position model. The record is from RNAcentral.
GUGAGGAAUAUUGGUCAAUGGGCGAGAGCCUGAACCAACCAAGUCGCGUGAAGGAAGACGGCCCUACGGGUUGUAAACUUCUUUUGCAAUGGAAUAAAAAGAGUUACGUGUAAUUCAUUGUAUGUACAUUGCGAAUAAGGAUCGGCUAACUCCGUGCCAGCAGCCGCGGUAAUACGGAGGAUCCGAGCGUUAUCCGGAUUUAUUGGGUUUAAAGGGUGCGUAGGCGGAUUGGAAAGUCAGCGGUGAAAGUUUGCAGCUUAACUGUAAAAUUGCCAUUGAAACUGUCAGUCUUGAGUGCAAAUGAGGUAGGCGGAAUGUGUUGUGUAGCGGUGAAAUGCAUAGAUAUAACACAGAACACCAAUUGCGAAGGCAGCUUACUGGGAUGCAACUGACGCUGAGGCACGAAAGCGUGGGGAUCAAACAGGAUUAGAUACCCCUGUAGUCC